RNAcentral lists this long non-coding RNA (1055 nucleotides) under Pan troglodytes (chimpanzee). RNAcentral describes it as "lncRNA (ENSPTRG00000053421.1)". The record is from RNAcentral. Lineage: Eukaryota; Metazoa; Chordata; Mammalia; Primates; Hominidae.
CCAGGAGCUGCCACAUCUCUCUCCUGGUCCAGGGUGGAUAAAGCUGAGGACAUUCAGGAACUUAGAGCUCUGCCAUCUCAGCACCCUGGUGAAUGAAAAAGCCGGCAUGAGCAUAAGCCAAGCAUACGUUAUUCCAAACUAGAGCUCAAAGCAACUGCAACACGCAGCUGGAAUUUCGAAUGUCGGAAACAUUUCCCACUGCGCCGCUGGGUGGGUAAUUCCCUGACCAAGCUGAAAAAGGGACCUUUACAAGAGCCUCCAAGGUCUGAAUGAAAUGUUUUCCCUGGCUCUGGACUCCCACCCUGGAUUAACAGCAGAGACAUUAGCAAAACACUGACCACAGGUUUUUAUUUUCUUUUCUGUGGAAUGUGGCUUGGUCCUCAGAACUGAUGGUGGGUUAUUUCUCCUUACAUAACCAUUUCUUCUCUGGAGACCAUUUAGAUAUAAAUAGGAAAGGCAAAGCUCUUUUUGUGGACCUAUAAGCUGGACCACCUAUUUGAAGAAGCCCCAACAAUAGUAAAGACAGUCCGGGUUGGCCCAAAUCUGAGAAGGGUGUAAAAGCAUAUAUGCUCAGUGAAAAGGGAACAUGCAGGUUUUGACAUCCAGCGCUCAUUCAGAGAUACACACAUAUACAUGCAUUCACACACACACAUGCAUACAUACAAGCCUGUAGAAAGAGAAUGAGAGAGAGAGAUGCUGAAAAGAAGGUAAAGAGGUUGCAGCAUCAGUGACAUCUUCCAAAUCUUUGUCUUAGUUUUUGCUGAUCUAACAUGUUGGUUUCCAUAGCAACCUAGUGUGGCCUGGAUAACAAGUGAAGCUCAUUUCAGAGAGUUCUACAGAGCCAGGCAGAGCAUUUUCAAUGAAAGUUCCUUCUUGUCUCCCAGGAACUGCAGUCACUGGAUUUAAGGAGUAUGAUGACCGGAGACACAGCUGUUGGAGGAAAAAAGUUUAUGUCAAUUAAAAUCCUGAAUUUCUCUGAUCUGGAAAGAAAAACUGCUAUGAACUCUUUAGCUCAACUUCUUGAUGAAAACAACAAACCCAGUGAAAAUAACUGA